RNA transcript from Ictalurus punctatus (channel catfish), 8799 nucleotides. It is a transcript of the gene named solute carrier organic anion transporter family, member 1C1, with no coding region annotated. The transcript is spliced from 15 exons. The record is from RefSeq and is a predicted model, not a curated record. NCBI's taxonomy places the organism in Eukaryota, Metazoa, Chordata, Actinopteri, Siluriformes, Ictaluridae.
GAAGCUUGAUGCUGGUUGGAGCAAUUGGGAGAUGUGGGAGAUAAUUCUUGCUAAAUGUUCAAAUUAUAUAACUGUCCCCUGUCACAACGGAGUAAACUGCCUCUGAAAUGACAUACUUCAUAUAAUGUCGCUGACCUGGAAAACAUUUAGAGGACCUAAGUAGCUCCAGCACCACUGUCUGCAGGCUGAGAUCUGUCACGUGCUCGAGCCAGUUCAUCGAGAAUCUUGCGAAAACGGUGGAAACUGUUUUCUCAGGAGGGUUAGGGGGCUGACGCGAAAGAUUAUUCUAUUCAAAACACCGCUGCUGCUCCCCCCCACGCGGGAUGUGACUCGGAAAUCCGAUCCUUUCAUCCAACCCUAUGGGAAGUUUCCUUAAAGCCCGUGGCAUCUGCUGUGCGCGAGCUCUUAUUGUCCACAGGAGAGCAGCUGAUUCUGGAGCGUCGGGAAAAGUCCAGUUUCAAAUCCAUAGCCUAUAUUAUAUAACACACCGGAGAGCACCGAGAACAACGGGUCUCAAUCGCUUCUUAGUGCGAAAGAAGAUCGUGGGUGUCUGAAUCAAUGGCAAGAAAUUUCUUUAGGGAAAAAGGAACUUUUUUGAGGAGGAUGGACCCACCGAGAAAAGCCACUUGGUCCCCAGAAAAUGAGAUUACACAGAGAAGGGAGCACUCAUGCUGUUCUGGCCUAAAAGUAACUUGCUGGUUAUUGCCUUUGUCAGUUACUUUGGUGCCAAGCUUCAUCGACCAAAAAUCAUUGCCACUGGCUGUCUUCUGAUGUCACUGGGGACAUUCCUAAUUGCACUCCCUCACUUUAUUAUUGGACGAUAUAAGUUUGAAACAUCAGUUAGAUCUUCAGUGAACUCAACUUAUAACGUCACGCCAUGUCCAGCCAGUCCACCUAGAAUGCUGUCUGUGGGUAACCACCCCUCUACAGUGUUAAACACAGGUUGUGAGAAUGAGUCCAGGUUAUCCAUGUGGAUCUAUGUAUUACUGGGGAACAUCUUGCGUGGAAUUGGUGAAACUCCAGUACAGCCUUUGGGAAUUUCAUACAUAGAUGAUCAUGCUCUGGAGGACAAUGCUGCUUUCUACAUUGGGUUUGUUCAGACGAUAUCGGUCAUUGGCCCAGUGUUUGGCUACCUGCUUGGAUCUCUUUGUGCAAAGUUAUAUGUGGACAUUGGAUUUGUCAACAUAGAGAGUAUUACAAUCACACCAGGAGAUGCACGCUGGGUGGGCGCAUGGUGGCUGGGCUACCUCAUAGCAGGGCUCAUCACACUGUUGUCAGCUGUGCCUUUGUGGUUCAUGCCCAAGACUCUCCCUGUAUUAGAGGGUCAAUUGUCCAAGUGCUCCCCAGAGCAGACCAACUUUAUAAGAGACUCACAUGUUGUGCACCACAAAUGCCAGGCAGAUGAGGCCACCAGCUUUGUAGAGCUGGCCAAAGAUUUUAUGCCAACACUGAGAUCACUCCUGGGGAAUCCUGUCUACAUUUUGUACCUCUGUGUAACAAUCAUCCAGUUUAAUUCUUUGAUAGGCAUGGUCACAUAUAAGCCAAAAUAUAUAGAGCAACAUUACGGGCAGUCAGCAUCCAAAGCCAACUUUUUGAUGGGAAUGAUCAACAUCCCAGCUGUUGCCUUGGGUAUGUUCUCAGGGGGAGUGCUUAUGAAGAAAUUCAAGUUGGGAAUCAUGGGAGCUGCCAAGUUUGCACUGGGAACAUCUCUGUUGGGCUACUUCCUCUCUCUGUUCUUCUUUGCCUUGGGUUGUGAGAAUACCAAAGUGGCUGGUAUCACUGUGUCAUAUGAUGGGAUAGAGAAUACCUCCAUUGAGGAGAGCUCGCUAUUUGUGAGCUGUAAUGCAGACUGUCUGUGCUCAGACACUGAAUGGGACCCAGUGUGUGGUGAGAAUGGUCUCACGUAUGUCUCCGCGUGCCUGGCUGGGUGCCGGAUGUCUCGUGGCUCUGGCGUGGACAUGAUGUUUGAGCAGUGCAGCUGUGUGGCAGGUGGAAACCUAACCGCCUAUGUGGGGCAGUGUAGACAUAGGGAGAGCUGCCACCAAGUAUUCCCCUAUUUCCUGGCUUUGUCUGUCAUCACUUCCUUUAUCAUCUCCCUGGGUGGAACACCAGGAUACAUGCUACUAAUCAGAUGCAUCAAGCCAGAGCUGAAGUCCCUCGCUUUAGGAUUUCACACCCUGACAACACGCACUCUAGCUGGCAUCCCAGCUCCAAUAUACUUUGGAGCAGUCAUUGACACCACAUGUCUGAAAUGGGGCCAUAGGAAGUGUGGAGGAAAAGGAGCAUGUAGAAUCUACAACACUACUGCCUACAGGAUAGCAUAUCUGGGCCUAACGCUGGGCCUCAGGACAGCGUCCUUCUUCCUCUGUGCACUGGGUUUGCUGAUCUUACAGUGGCAUAUCAAAAGGCAGAAGACCAGAACAAUCUCUAAUGGAAGCACUGUCACAGAACUGCAAGCUCUGAGAAAAGAGGAAAUCAGCAACUCGGAUCAGUCCCCACGGACCUCAGAUUAUGACCCCGAGAAGGAGACACGCUUGUGACAAUGCUUUUAUUUGUUUGUAGAGCAUAAAAAUAAAAUCUACUGAACAAUGUGAAGUACAGGACAUUGAAAUUCUGACAUUGGAAUACGUCACUGAAUGUACAUGGUUGUAGGUAUAAAAAAAAAAGAAAAAAAAAAGAUUUCUUUAAUUAUCUCAAUGUUGUUUAUUGUGGAAAAGCUUACUUUUUAACAGGAAAGCAAAAAUCUUAUUUUUGUCUGUAUUUUUCUAAAUACUAAAUUUAAUAUACUGCCAUGUGAGUGUACUACUGGAAUGGUUCAAAUUAAAAUGCAAUCCAUUUUUUUUUUUUUUUACAAUAAUUUAGAGUGCUGUUAAUGGACAUUCAGAUGUUAUCAGUAAUUAGUUGUAUAUGUAUUUUGAGACAAGACAAUCAACCAUUUUAAAGUUACCAAUGCUGAGUAUUUAGUCUGAGUACAGAUCUAGAAUCUUGCCUGCAGAUAUCAGAGGCACUUAACAGAACAACUGUGUUUAUUUGUGCAUCAUGCACGCUUACAGUACAUGUUUGGGGUUUUUUCUGGGACAGCUUGCAUGAAGCUUGCAGUUGUAGCGGGUUCGCAGCAGCGACAGGCAGAGAACAGAUACACAGAGGCUACUGGAAGGGAAUUAGUGCCAGGUUUAUUAAACUAUUCACAAAAAAUACUAAAAAUAGAAAAGGGGAAGCAUGCAGGAACAUUGUGAAGGGCGUGCAGAUGGGCGCUGGUGAUCCCUCGUGCCAGCUAAGACUGGUCGCAAGAAGAGAGCUGUACAUCAUUACAGUGGUCGUCUUUAUCGCCACAGUUCUCUGGAAACAAUUCACGUUUGUAGGCCAAUAUCGCUCACCUUACUGCUCCCGGCGCACCCUUUUAUCCUCUUCCGUUGUCUCAUGCGUGGUUUGUACCACCUCGCCCCUCAGCCACGUGCUGAUCCUGUGCACACCACUAGGGGUGCUGAAAGGGAACAUUCCUUUCAGUCCCCCAGCGGCAGUCGUAUGAGGAGUGAUCUUCUUCUCUGGGGCACGUAGCUCCGGUCCAACAUCCAACAUCAGCCCGCCCCCACAAAGCGAUUUUUGUGAGUGCUGCCACCCACACCUUGCUUGGUGACUCUGUUGGCAUUCCGUGCUUCCACCUUGUAUCAGCUGCGUCAGAGUCAUAAAUCUCCCACUCAAAGGAAAGGAUUUUAUUGCAUGGAUUAAUGAGUCAGACCCAGUUCUCUGUGUUCCCUCUUUUCUGCUGUGCUCCAGACCUGUAUUCCCCGGAAAGACGCUGGGGUUUGAUAAUCUACAAACAAUUUUUUAAAUGUCCAAAAAAAAUUUACCUCUGACAUCUCUCUUCAUUCUCCAGGGAUCUGUCGAGCACAGUAACAAAUUGGUUAGUACAUGAGUAGCUUUUAACUCUUUGUGAAUACCUGUUCCAUUUUGAGCCCUCCUGCUGUGUCUCUUAUCUCUAUAUAGGAUGUCCUGAUGGGGGCCCAUUUUGGGAUGUUCAUCAUAGGUUCUACUACUCACGUACUUCAGAUCUUGGGGAAACGCACCAUCCUCUGCGCAUUUGCCUGUAGCCUUUGUGGCCCUUUACUCCUCAGCCGCUAAGGGCAGGAAAUCAUUCUUGGCCUCUGCCACUGCACUUGCUGAGGUCCCGGGGGCUUCCGUCAGCCAUGUUUCGGACUCUCCAAGGGUGGGUGCACAGGGUGGGUUCUCCAUGUGGCACGCCCAGUUGGCCAACAGGGGCUAUCCAGUGUGAGCAGCGGAUAGGGGUUCCGGGGGGGGAGCUUGUGACGUCCUGGGCCACACCAUCGAUAGGGUGGCUGUGGCUGGUCGUCUCCUCUCCAGUCAGUUGCUGUUCCGGAUGGUGAGGUGGAGGACUUCGGGGCGGGUGAGAAGUUCCAGUCUACAGGCUCCUUUUUGGGUCUCCGGCUGUUCUCCAGAGUCAGCAGAGGUUAAAACUCCAUAGUUGCCAUCUGUCCUUACCUCUUCGUACUGUUCUGGCACGAGGAUACCCGUCCUCUCCCUUUUUGGCUUUUCCUUUGUCCAGGCAGCCGGUUUGACAGACCUUUUCCAUUGUCUGUCUGGGCGAGUCUCUGGUGGGUGGGUUGAAUAACUCAACAGGGGCUGGAGAGGGGAGCAGCUUUGGCUCUGGUGAGUUUACUCUCCCAUGACGUUCUCAGCUCCAUGUACUUGUUUCUGGUGGGGGGUUCAUGUCUGUGCUCAAAGGCCGCAUUCUCCACCAGUGUGGCGGGUUUACAGCAGAGCACAGACAGACAGAGGCAACUGGAGGUGAAUUAGUGGCAGGUUUAUUAAACUAUUCACAAAAAAAUACUAAAAAUAGAAAAGGGGAAGUGUGCAGGAGCAUUGUGAAGGGAGUGCUAAUGGCGACUAGCGAUCCCUCAUCCCAACUGAGACUGGUCGCGAGGAGAGAGCUAUGCAGCAUUGCAGCGGGGGUUCUGAAAUGAGGAAAACAUUCACAGAGGAAACAGCAACAAUGGGCAACAGAUGGGAAGUCUUUCUUGGCCCAGUCCUCUAGAAACAAUUAAAAAAAAGAGACAGAGUUAACUAUUUUUAGACCAAUAUCAUUCACCUUGCUGCUCCCGGCGUGCCCUUUUAUGCUCUUCCGCUGCCUCUGUGAUGGUAGAGAGCCACCACUGCAAUCAGUGCUCACCAGACGUGCGUGGUUGGGACCGCCCCGCCUCUCAGCCACGCACUGAUUCUGUGCAAACCACUAGGGGUGCUGAAAGGGAACAUUCCUUUCAGCAUCCCAGCGGCAGUCCUAUGAGGAGCGACGUUCUUCUCUGGGGCGUGUAGCUCCAGUCUGACGUCACAUUGUUCAUUCCAUAGAAUGAACUACACACAGGAGCUCCUCGCAAGAUUUAUGACCAGGAACUCAGAAGAGUAGCCCAGGAGCCACGGACCACUCGGAAAGAGCUCCAGAAACACUUUUUGUCUGUCAUACUACACACCAUUUUUGAAGAAGAAAUAGCACUGCACAUCACCCUAAAAACACUACACCAGCAGUGAAGUUUGGAGAUGGAAGCAUCAUGGUGUGGGGCUGCUUUUCAUCAUAUGGUACUGGCAGACUUCAUAUAAUUGAAGGAACGAUGAAUGGAGCCCUUUACCGGGAGAUUGUUGAGAAGAAUCUGCUGCCAUCCACCAGAUGAUGAUGAAGAUGAGACAUGGGUGGACCUUCCAGCAGGACAACGGUCCAAAGCAUUGUGAGAGAAAUUGAAACACAUCAUGCUUUAAGUGAGGAGAGGUACAGCCAGAAAGACUGUGUCAAAGGAGGAGUUUAGAGAGGAUGUGGAACAAAGACUUUCAGUUGUGGUGGAGCUUAGAUUGCAGGUGAAGUUCUCUGUGUAAUAUUCAGGUUACCUCCCCACCCACACCUAUGGUCAUGAGCUGUGAGCAGUGACCGAAAGAAUAAUGUUGCUCUGUGUCAAUCGACUUAUCGCACGAUAUAUGGAAGUGAGCUCGAUCAUUUUUGGUGAUGCGAUAUAUUGCGAUUGAUCAUUUUUAAUAAUUGAAAAUAAUGAUUAUAUUCAUUUUUACAUAAAAAUUAAUGUCACCAGCAUUUUAGUCGAUCAUACCGCCUCUGUCAUCUCGUCUGUUUUCCGUGGUAGAGAUGAGGCUCAUGCAGAGUCUCCACACACACACACACACACACACACACACACACACACACACGCGCAGACAGGGACAGGUGUCCACUGCGUGAUGUAGGGUUUCAUGACAACUACAGCCAGUUAGGAAGAAUAAGUCCCAAUGGACUUGGUUUCAAAGCUGCAAUCUUCAGCUCCGGUGUGGGAACAUUUUGGCUGUAAGCCAAAUGAGAGCACAGAGUCAAUUAGCGUGAACGAUCCAGUAUAUCGACUUUGUUUAAAAAUAGUGGCAACGAAAAGAGGCAACACGACUAACCUAAAAUCUCACCUAAAACAUAACCAUCCCACCCAGUUUUUCAACUUGGGAACAACAACCGCAGCUGGAGGUGGAGAGCGGUCUUCCAGACAGUUAUCUGUUACAGAUGCCGUUUCCCGGCAGUGCAAAUAUAAACGUGACAGCGCGAAACGGCACACGCUCACAGAUUGCGUAACUCGCUAUAUAGCCAAAGAGAUGCAGCCAUUAAACACGGUCGAAAAACCAGCAUUUAAAAAUAUGCUGCAAACUUAUGACAAACAGUACGACUUGCCAAAGAAAACAUACAUCUCCCAAACUGCCAUUCCAUCCUUGUAUAACAAAGUAACAGACAACAUUCUGAAGGAGAUAUGACAUCUCCUUUUACUGCAAUUACAUAUAUGUGGUCAAGCUCAAAUACCACCCCAUACAUGAGCUUGACCACACACUACAUAACUGCUGACUGGACUCUGCAGUCAAAGUGUUUAGAGACCAGAUACAUACCCCAGAAGCACACUGCUGAUGUACUUGCUGAAGCCCUUCAGUCUGCUUUAGCAGACUGGGAAUUGGAUGAGCGCAAAAUGGCCUCUAUCACUACAGACAACGGUGCUAACAUUGUGGCUGGAAUACGCAAACUUGUCUGGCCAUGGCUCAAUUGCUUUGACCACAACCUCCAUUUGGCUGUUUCCCCUGGACUGUACAGUGACAAGGAUUGCACCAUGGGUGUGCCAUGGGACUUUAGGACUCCUGAGCUGUCUAAAGAAGAGAGACCUGAGAAAGGCACAGACUGAAACCAAUGUCUCCCAACACAAUCUAGUACUGGAUGUCGCCACACGAUGGGGCACCAAGCGAAAAAUGAUAGAGAGUGUGCUGGAGCAACUCCCAUCCAUAAAACAUGUCCUGGUUGAAGAUCGAAAACAUGGCCACCUCAACCCAACCAGACAGGAUGUUUCUGUGUUGGAAUCCAUUAACGCAACCAUGAAGCCAGUGGCUGAUUUCACGGAUGUCCUGUCAGGGGAAAAAUUUCACUGUGUCCUCAGUCAAACCUGUGCUGGGAUUACUUAAAGGCGAACUUUUAUCACCAGACCACACUGACGCUGCACUGACAGCAAACAUAAAGGCAAACAUGUGGGUAUUGACAGAGAAAUACAGCCCAUCUGAAAUCCAAAACCUUCUGACAAAGGCCACCAUCUUGGAUCCAAGAUAUCAUGGCACCAUGGAGGACGCGGAGAUCUUGGAUGAUGUCAAAGAAAAUCUCUUGCGAGAACUACUAGACAUGAACAAAGAACAAAAAAAAAAAAAGGAGGAAGUGCCAAUGGUGAGAGCUGCGUUAAAGCUGCAGGGGGAAAUGAAGGAUCUGAAGCUGAACCUCCAGCAAUCAAGAAGAAGAGGCUGUGUGAACUUCUCCAGAACAGAACCCAACUUACAAGGCACCAGACUCAGGCAUCGGUAACAAAAAGAGUGCAGGCUGAUGCGGAGCUGACCAAGUUCCUCCAGGAAGAAGCACUUGAUGCAUCAUCUGAUCCCUCGAUGUGGUGGUGUAAUAACCAUAGAAGAUUUCUUCUAAUAGCCAAGUUAUCACAAAAAUACUAGCUCAGAAAGAAUGUUUAGCACAGCUGGUAACAUUGUUACCCCAGAAAGAUCCUGCCUUAAUCCCCACAGGGUGAACAUGGUGUUCCUUUCCCAGAAUCUGCCUAACAAUUAAAAAUGGAUUUGGCAGAUUUGGCCUGUUGAGGCAUCUGUGCCUCUGUGUGAGACUUUAAAAGUCUAAACCGACUUUGUUAAACGUGUUACUUUGUUUUCUUCUAGUUCUUCUUACCUUACACUUUUUUUGUUAACAAAGGUGUAUUUAUUAUUUAUUUAUGUUUUAUGCAUUUAGGAUAUAUUUUUUGACAUUUUGAUUCCAAUGUUCUUAAGAAUUAAAAGUUCUUUGUUAUUUGAAAGAGUGUAUUUGCAUUAUUAUGCUAUUAUAUUGCCAUAUUGUCAUUAAAUAAUCAGCGGCAUCAAUCAAACGGUCUUAAAAUGACAAUAAUAUAGUUUAUCGCAAUGCAUUUUGGGACAGUAUGUCACACAGCUAAAGUAGUUAUCGUGACAGCUCUAGGCAUGUUGACAAUCUGGGACAGCCUCAGGGUACAGCCGCUGCUCCUCCGAAUUGAAGGGAAUCCCCACUAGAGCUGAAUCAGAUCUCCAGACAGACUCAGGACCUGCCUGAGAAAGUAUAUUUCACAGUUGACCUGUCUUCAUGUCUGACGAUUCCCCAGGAUUUAUGAUAUUAGUCCACAAAUGAAGUUCAGUCAUUUUAGUAAUCCGUUUUAAAAACUUAGUUCAUGUAAACAUCACAUCACUCUGUUUGUAGUUUAUCAGGAACAGUAAAAAAAAUAAUAA